Molecule: long non-coding RNA, 1532 nt
Filed under: Salvia miltiorrhiza (redroot sage)
Lineage: Eukaryota; Viridiplantae; Streptophyta; Magnoliopsida; Lamiales; Lamiaceae
Description: long non-coding RNA (SMIL_LNC008022)
Source: RNAcentral
UCCGCCGAGCCGCUCCUCUCAAUCCAGAAAUCCGGCGACCCAGCGGCGCCCCUCGCCCGCCCGUCGUCGCCGUUCUCCUCGCCUCGCCAGCCCGCCAUCGCCGUUCUGCUCGCCUCGUCCGCCCGCAGUCGCCCACUCGCUCCCAGCCCCCGCAGUUCCACCGCGACCCUCGCCCAGUCGCCCUAUCGUUCCCGUCGUUCCGCCGCCGCCGAGCUUGUCGCCCUGCAGCAGCCGUGCCGCCUCCGAGCUCCAACAACGUCACACCAGUUCUUCUUCUUCUUCUUCUUCUUCUUUAAUACAAAUUUCCUAUGUCAAUGUUGAAUAAUUGAAUUUGCUGCUUUGAAUAAUUGAAUUUGGUCCUUGAAUUUCACUAUGUCAAUGUUGAAUUUCGGCUGAAUUUGCUGCCCUGCUUUGAAUUGGUUGCCAUGCCCCCUGCAUCAUUUCCUCCUUGUUAUUUGUUGGUUGUCUCUUUGUUGUUUGUUACACGUAGAGGCUCUCUAUGUAUUCGGGUAAUUUAGGGUACCGAAUACCCGAAUCGGGUAUUAGGGUACCCGAUUAAGAAAUCGGGUUCGGGGUCGGGUAUCAGUUUCCGGCCUUAUUCGGGGUUGGAUACCUCGGGUAGGGUACCCGAUCCCGACCCGAUUCCCACCCCUAGAUCUUAUACAUUUCUUCGUUUAUUGUGAAACUCACUUUUCGUCGUUCUAUGUUGGUAAACAUCAGGGAUCUGUCAAUGGCUGACUCUUCCAAGUCCUUGAAACUCCCCAACUCUACUGCUACAGGUAAUUCAACACUCCAGUUAUUCACUACAAAGAAAAACAACAACUAUGCUUAAUUUUCUUUUAAUGAAAGCUGUAAUCUUGUGAUUUUAAGGGCAACAUUUUUAGGGAGUAAAAGAUUUUUGAAAACGAGACGGGUGAUGUUAGGCUUAGGUGCAUGCGUUUGAAAGAAUGCUUCUUGAAAAAUUGGCUGAUGAGUUGCAUAUCUUCUUCCCUAGUUGAAGAGUGGGUAGAUGAUUACUUUUUUAUUUUUAAAUUUUGGGGGGCGUUUAUAUUUGAAUUUCUGAUGUCCUGAUUGCAUAAAAUUUAAAUAAAAUUGAUUUUCAUGUUUAUUGAUUGAUUUGGAAUGGUUAACUCAUUUCAGUUUGGUCUUUUUCUGACAUACGAAGAACUCAAUGCGCCAUUUGGGUGGUAAAGGCUUGUUAAAUUUUGUUGGCUGAAAAGUGGAAAAUAUUGUUUAUGAUAGUUUGAAGUUAACUCUGAUUCAUUGGACUCAUUAUUCUUAUAUAUGUGGUUGUGAUCACAGGGCACAAGAAAAUGAAAGUCAAGAUUAUACGUAUCCUACAUAUGUGUGUGUGUGCAUACAUGCAAUUGGAUAUCUCCAUGGGCGUAUUAGCAUAUUCCAUAAACAGAUUAUAAAUUAUGUCCUUUUACUGGUUAUAGGUCGUAAGGUGUGAUUACCAGGAUUAACUUUUGAGUAAUAUUGUUCUGUAAUUUGUAUAAGUUGAAUAAUCUAAUUUUUUUUUGUGUAAGUUC